AUGAACGCCGGCGGCAGGCCUAACACAUGCAAGUCGAACGGUAGCACAGAGAGCUUGCUCUCGGGUGACGAGUGGCGGACGGGUGAGUAAUGUCUGGGAAACUGCCUGAUGGAGGGGGAUAACUACUGGAAACGGUAGCUAAUACCGCAUAACGUCGCAAGACCAAAGAGGGGGACCUUCGGGCCUCUUGCCAUCAGAUGUGCCCAGAUGGGAUUAGCUAGUAGGUGGGGUAACGGCUCACCUAGGCGACGAUCCCUAGCUGGUCUGAGAGGAUGACCAGCCACACUGGAACUGAGACACGGUCCAGACUCCUACGGGAGGCAGCAGUGGGGAAUAUUGCACAAUGGGCGCAAGCCUGAUGCAGCCAUGCCGCGUGUAUGAAGAAGGCCUUCGGGUUGUAAAGUACUUUCAGCGGGGAGGAAGGUGUUGUGGUUAAUAACCACAGCAAUUGACGUUACCCGCAGAAGAAGCACCGGCUAACUCCGUGCCAGCAGCCGCGGUAAUACGGAGGGUGCAAGCGUUAAUCGGAAUUACUGGGCGUAAAGCGCACGCAGGCGGUCUGUCAAGUCGGAUGUGAAAUCCCCGGCUCAACCUGGGAACUGCAUUCGAAACUGGCAGCUGGAU
Molecule: ribosomal RNA, 624 nt
Filed under: Pantoea agglomerans
Lineage: Bacteria; Pseudomonadati; Pseudomonadota; Gammaproteobacteria; Enterobacterales; Erwiniaceae
Description: bacterial SSU rRNA
Rfam family: Bacterial small subunit ribosomal RNA
Source: RNAcentral